Long non-coding RNA from Pezoporus occidentalis (night parrot), 648 nucleotides. RefSeq lists it as uncharacterized. The record is from RefSeq and is a predicted model, not a curated record. NCBI's taxonomy places the organism in Eukaryota, Metazoa, Chordata, Aves, Psittaciformes, Psittacidae. The transcript has 3 exons.
UUUGCAAUACCUAAGCCUGCUGCAAACUGUGGCAAAUUUCCUCAACCUUGGAGUCAUGAAGAUGGUAACUUGUCGACUGAUGCAGAGAAGUGAAAAGGGGUAAUGGCUGCCUGUGAUCUGUCUCCAUGCGCUUGUGAAAUACAAGCCACAGACUCUCUGUGUUUGGUUGUUAUCAGCACACAACAAAAAUCCUGGUCAUCCUUCAGCUUGAUGCAAGUUAAAAAGAUAUUUUCAUGGAAGCAGAGAGGAAGCCAAGAGGACAUCCUACAUCAUGAAUCCAUAGAGCCCAAACUCACUUAACUCUGCUUCCAAGGUGGCAUGGGUCAGGCAUCGCUGUCUGGCAUGUGUUGACUGCAAAGAUGUCACUCAGCUCCAGGAGAUCAAUGGGGCUCAGUGUGGAGUGAAGCAUUACUAGCAAGAACUUUCUAAAAACAAUACCCAAAGGAAUUGGAAAUUCCCCCUUGGAGUGUCAGCAGAUGCCCAGAAGGCAUCUCCAGGGACACUUAAUUCUCUGGAUCCUACCCAACUUAUACUGAAGUUAAUUGAAAAAACUCCCAUUGACUUGAAGAGGUUUUGGAUCUGGCUCAAAAGGCUCUUAGUGGCAGCAGAUUACAAGAAGGAACCCCACUGCGCAAGUUCAGCCAUCUG